UCUCUCUAAAACCUGCAAACUUAACAUCAUCAUCUCCAAUCAAACCUCCGGCGACACAUGUGCACUCCGAUCAAACCUCCGACGGUUCACAACUCGGAAUCCAGAUUAUUGAAUGUACGUACCGUAUGAUCUGUGUUAUGAAUCUGCUAUUCAAGAUGAUGAAGAUGGGUUUUAAUGGGGAAUAUACAAAUAAUUAUGCAUAGGGUACAACUAGAAUAUGUUGG
Molecule: long non-coding RNA, 224 nt
Filed under: Helianthus annuus (common sunflower)
Lineage: Eukaryota; Viridiplantae; Streptophyta; Magnoliopsida; Asterales; Asteraceae
Description: sRNA HanXRQr2_Chr05g0206511
Source: RNAcentral